CCACGAAGCUUCCCCUGGAGAUGAACAGGAAUGCCAAAGCCUUGCGGCGAAGGCCGCCUUCCACACGCAAGCAUGGCGCACAAACACAUACAGAACGAUCUGCAGACGUUCGCCAACACACGGAAGAUGUGGACCAAACAACGGACCACGAGAGUAGCGAUGCCGAUGCCAUCGUCAUUCCAGACACGGCGCAGUUGAUGCAGUCGAAGCGGCUGCAGAUUCUCGCGGAUCAGCUCGAACGCUCACUCCGUGUCCUAGGCCAGAAGCUCGACCGCAUGCAGAUGCGGAUGGAGAACGCCGGCCGUGGCGCCCUACUGCCCUUCCAGCUGCGCCGAGCCAAGCAGGAAAAGGAGGAGCUGAAGCGCGAGAUCAUGGCGACGCAGCGGACCAUCAAGAGGUUGAUCUUCAUGUCAACCCAGAUGAAGCAGAUGAUCGCACUCAAGAAUGAAGUGCUGCAGAGCACACGCGCGCGUCUUCUGGAGGAGAUCAAGACGCUGGAGACGCAGGUCCACGAGAACGCGGAGCAGAUUCGUCGCGGGUAUGUCCAGCGCAUCAGCAUGCUGCAGCGCUACUGGCCAUGGAGGCAGCUACGCGAGCUCGGCGACACCACGGUGGGUAAAACCUUCGAGGAGGAACUGGCACGAGGCCCUCGGUACCGCAACAUUGGGAUUCAAAACAACAUCCAGACUGACUACAUUGUCCAGCAGCUACACUGGUUGCAGGAGCUGGGCAACCGCGAGGGCGUCUUUCGCGGUCACCUGCGCCUCCUGGAAGGCAUGGUCGAGGACUUGAACGACAUUACCGAUCUGCUCGAGACCACCAUGACGUGCACCGUUUGUGGCAUGCUCUACGAGAAUCCCGUGAUCCUCUGGCCCUGUGGUCACUCCUUCUGCCUCCCCUGCGUUGAGUGCCUUGCGAUUGCGCCGAGUUUGUACCGCUGCCCAACGUGCGGCAGCAUCGGCAGCGAGGGAUUUGUGCACAACCUGCUGCUCGCCGAGACGGUAGCCAAGUGGAUGUUCAAGGAUAAGGGGUACGGAGACACUCAAGCGCCACUCAAUGCCAUCCGUGUCCAUCUUCCGCGGUUUCGGCAGGACAGCAUCCAGUCGCGGAUUUCGCAGCUGAAGAAAGACCUGCGAGAGUCGGCCGAGAGGGCCGCCUCGCCGGGGAAGGAUCCUGCAGAGCGGGAGUUAAUCGCCAUUUCUUAUCGACUCUAUUAGAGGUUUGGCGCCACGGCUUCGCUCGUAGCGUAGCUUUCAUGGCUGCGUGUGGCGCACAAGCGCGUGAGGGCGGUGGCGGGUGUUCGUUGCGGGCAUGAUGAUCUCGCUGUGUUUGUGUGUGUGUGUGUGUGUGCAUGGGAAUCAGUUUGCACUUUUUCUCCUCCCCUGUCCUCGAUGAGGGCUCGAUGAUGUACAGUACGCUCGCCCGACUUUCGCGUUCCUAUGCUGGCAGCAUGGUGACGGGCGACACCCGCGUUUUUGCCGUCGUCGUCUUUCGCCACGUGACGCUGCCGCCGCCGCGGUUUCUCUUGGUUACGCCCUCUGUUUCACUGCUGCUCGCGUGCUCUCGUGCCGUCCUUUGCCCUCUUCUUCCGCGGGAAUGGAACACGGGUCGCGACGAGGUCACGAACGGACAAGC
RNAcentral lists this unclassified non-coding RNA (1635 nucleotides) under Leishmania donovani. RNAcentral's name for it is "gene:LdHU3.28.1770(CDS-product:Zinc_finger_C3HC4_ type_(RING_finger)_containing_protein_putative)". Lineage: Eukaryota; Euglenozoa; Kinetoplastea; Trypanosomatida; Trypanosomatidae. The record is from RNAcentral.